GACGAACGCUGGCGGCGUGCCUAAUACAUGCAAGUAGAACGCACAGUUUAUACCGUAGCUUGCUACACCAUAGACUGUGAGUUGCGAACGGGUGAGUAACGCGUAGGUAACCUGCCUGGUAGCGGGGGAUAACUAUUGGAAACGAUAGCUAAUACCGCAUAAUAUUAAUUAUUGCAUGAUAAUUAAUUGAAAGGUGCAAUUGCACCACUACCAGAUGGACCUGCGUUGUAUUAGCUAGUAGGUGAGGUAACGGCUCACCUAGGCGACGAUACAUAGCCGACCUGGGAGGGUGAUCGGCCACACUGGGACUGGGACACGGCCCAGACUCCUACGGGAGGCAGCAGUAGGGAAUCUUCGGCAAUAGACGAAAGGCUGACCGAGCAACGCCGCGGGAGUGAAGAAGGUUUUCGGAUCGUAAAGCUCUGUUGUAAGAGAAGAACGGGUGUGAGAGUGGAAAGUUCACACUGUGACGGUAUCUUACCAGAAAGGGACGGCUAACUACGUG
RNAcentral lists this ribosomal RNA (505 nucleotides) under uncultured bacterium. RNAcentral describes it as "partial 16S ribosomal RNA". It matches the Rfam family "Bacterial small subunit ribosomal RNA", at positions 28 to 507 of the family's 1533-position model. The record is from RNAcentral.